UUCGCAAUGCCCGAAAGGGUGACGAAGCGACGCCGCGUGCGGGAAGAAGGCCUUCGGGUUGUAAACCGCUGUCGGGAGUUAGGAAGUGCAAGGAUGUUAAUAGCGUUCUUGCUUGACUAAGGCUCCGGAGGAAGCCACGGCUAACUCUGUGCCAGCAGCCGCGGUAAUACAGAGGCGGCAAGCGUUGUUCGGAAUUAUUGGGCGUAAAGAGCACGUAGGCGGCUGUGUAAGUCGGUUGUGAAAGCCUUCCGCUCAACGGAAGGACGGCAUCCGAUACUGCAUGGCUCGAGUGCGGGAGGGGAGAGUGGAACUUCUGGUGGAGCGGUGAAAUGCGUAGAUAUCAGAAGGAACACCGGCGGCGAAGGCGACUCUCUGGUCCGUAACUGACGCUGAGUGUGCGGAAGCUAGGGGAGCAAACGGGAUUAGAUACCCCGGUAGUCCUAGCCGUAAACGAU
RNAcentral lists this ribosomal RNA (455 nucleotides) under uncultured bacterium. RNAcentral describes it as "bacterial SSU rRNA". It matches the Rfam family "Bacterial small subunit ribosomal RNA", at positions 365 to 810 of the family's 1533-position model. The record is from RNAcentral.